CCCACGCUGGAGCCAUUCAUGAAGAACUGCAGCCCAUGGGAAUGACCCAUGUUGGAGAAGUUUGUGGAGGACUGUAUCCUGUGGGUAGGACCCCACACUGAAGCAGGGGAAGGUUGUCAUGAGUCCUGCCCCUGAAGAGGAUGAAGUGGCAGAGACAACAUGUGAUGGACUGAUUGUAACCCCCAUUCCUCAUCCCCUUGUGCCACUGUGGGGGUUAGGUAGAGAAUCCGGGAGUGAAGCUGUGCCUGGGAAGAAGCAGGGGGGAAGAAGGUGUUUUAAGACUUGUUUUUAUUUCUCAUUACCCUAGUCUGGUUGACUGGCAAUAAAUUCAGUUAAUUUUCACGAAGUUGAGUCUGUUUUGCCCAUGACAGUAAUUGGUUGAAUGAUCUCUCCCUGUCCUUAUCUCAACCCACGAGCCCUUUGUUAUAUUUUCUCUCCCCUGUCCAGCUGAGGAGGGUGGAGUCAUAGAACGGCUUUGGUAGGCACCUGGCAUCCAGCCAGGUUCAACCCACCACAAUAUCAAACAGAUGAAAGA
This is a long non-coding RNA of Aquila chrysaetos chrysaetos, 535 nucleotides long. RefSeq lists it as uncharacterized. NCBI's taxonomy places the organism in Eukaryota, Metazoa, Chordata, Aves, Accipitriformes, Accipitridae. The record is from RefSeq and is a predicted model, not a curated record. The transcript has 3 exons.